RNAcentral lists this ribosomal RNA (446 nucleotides) under uncultured bacterium. RNAcentral describes it as "partial 16S ribosomal RNA". It matches the Rfam family "Bacterial small subunit ribosomal RNA", at positions 338 to 795 of the family's 1533-position model. The record is from RNAcentral.
CCUACGGGCGGCAGCAGUCGAGAAUCAUUCACAAUGGGGGAAACCCUGAUGGUGCGACGCCGCGUGGGGGAAUGAAGGUCUUCGGAUUGUAAACCCCUGUCAUGUGGGAGCAAAUUAAAAAGAUAGUACCACAAGAGGAAGAGACGGCUAACUCUGUGCCAGCAGCCGCGGUAAUACAGAGGUCUCAAGCGUUGUUCGGAAUCACUGGGCGUAAAGCGUGGGUGGGCUGUUUCGUAAGUCGUGUGUGAAAGGCGCGGGCUCAACCCGCGGACGGCACAUGAUACUGCGAGACUAGAGUGAUGGAGGGGGAACCGGAAUUCUCGGUGUAGCAGUGAAAUGCGUAGAUAUCGAGAGGAACACUCGUGGCGAAGGCGGGUUCCUGGACAUUAACUGACGCUGAGGCACGAAGGCCAGGGGAGCGAAAGGGAUUAGAUACCCUAGUAGUC